Molecule: non-coding RNA, 1346 nt
Organism: Benincasa hispida (wax gourd)
Lineage: Eukaryota; Viridiplantae; Streptophyta; Magnoliopsida; Cucurbitales; Cucurbitaceae
Source: RefSeq, a predicted model, not a curated record
AGAAACGCCAGUAAGUUCAAUCUUCUAGUUUUCGUGUUCUUCAUUUCUUUAGAUCAUCGAGCUUGUUUUUAAUUUGUAGCAAACUCUUAUAGUUCAUAGUCGGUACUUCUGUAAUCGGAUUUCGUUUCUUCGUUAAGGAAUUUAGGAUAUUUUUAUGAUUUCAUAGCAUCUACGACUUCAAUGUACACAAACACAAUGCUGUUUCUUUCCUCAGAAACCUUUAGGGAAUAAUGACCUGCGCCUACCCCUGCCAGUGUUCCAUUGGAGGCUCUGAUGUAAGUUUCAUUACUCAACUUUACUUUCUAGGAUUACUGGUGGAAAUAAGAUGUGCCCUUGAUAUUUUUUAUUUCCUGACCGAAGUUGGGUACGGCUCCCUUCAUAAAAGAUUCUGUAUUUUAAUCAACUUUGCUUUUGUUGUUCAGUUUAGAAGGGUAUAGUGCUUGAAAUGGCCAAGCGAGAUACAUAUUAUUCAAUGGUUGCUAAUCAUCUCAAAACUGCAUGGCUGACACACUUAGAGGUUUUUGAUUUUGAUGCAUUACUCGUGAAUUUGAUUCUUUAGGAAUGUUAAGGGGACUGGAAGAUGGAAGUUAAAAUAAAGUUAAGUGUCAUUUUAAUGUAGGAGGACCAUUGUUAUAGAAUAGCUUUCACUUUAGAAUUAAGAAAGCAUGUGUGGUAUGUGGUAAUGAAUAGAGGGGGAAUGCGCACCAUAAACUCAUUGUACUAUUGGGUAUUUGCUUUCUAAACCCAUGAAAAAUAGUUGUUAUUAUUUCAUUUAUUUAAUUUGUGCUUGAUACAUUUGAUCUUUGUUUAGGCUUGAUGUUGUUGGAUGCAGGUAGAGCUUGAAACUAGAGAUCAAGAUGUGUACAAGCACUAUUCUUGUUGAACUUUGAAAUUUGGAUCUCCAAGGAUAUGGUUAGAAAUGAUUUUAAUUUGAACUAGCUAUCUGCUGAGUUUGUUCAACUUGAGUUAGGUAGGUUCCUUUUUAACUGCUAUUGUUCUUUUGAUUUGAAGCAAGCUCACCAACCCAAGUUUGGAAAAGGUGAAGGUUAUGAGUGAGGUUCUUUCAAGAGAUCUUGAGGCUGACUGUUCUUCUUUUUCAACUUGAAAUCUUUGUUACUGUACUCAAAAUAUAAAGGCAUGAUGAUAGAAUAGUCAAGUAAGAUGCACCUGUUAAAUUUCAAGAACUUGAUCAUAUUCUUCUUUGGAUUCAAAAUUCAUUUCUGUUGGGUGGUAACUUUAAACAUGAAAUUUUGGGGAUUGACUCCAUCAUAAACAUUUCAUUCAUCAUGUGAAAGUAAGACAACAGAAGUGUUUUAGAAAGGCAGUUCAAUCCAUAAUUAUUAACA